CGUUAAAUUGACUUGAAAAUCAUUGAACCAAGGAUUACAUUGUAAGUAAAAGUGAAAUUACCAAAAUAAACAACCAAUGAACGAGGCAACAGAUACUUCAAGAACUGCGUCCAACUAAUGAUAAUAAUAGUUGUUUUGAAUGUGGUGCUCUCAAUCCACAAUGGGUCAGCGUCACAUAUGGAAUAUGGAUCUGUUUAGAUUGCUCAGGGAAACACCGGGGACUCGGAGUUCAUUUGAGUUUUGUUCGUUCAAUCACUAUGGACAAAUGGAAGGAUAUUGAAUUGGCUAAGAUGAAAGCUGGUGGUAA
Tetranychus urticae (two-spotted spider mite) is the source of this 307-nucleotide non-coding RNA. Lineage: Eukaryota; Metazoa; Arthropoda; Arachnida; Trombidiformes; Tetranychidae. The record is from RefSeq and is a predicted model, not a curated record.